AGAGUUUGAUCAUGGCUCAGAUUGAACGCUGGCGGCAUGCCUUACACAUGCAAGUCGAACGGCAGCGCGGGGCAACCUGGCGGCGAGUGGCGAACGGGUGAGUAAUAUAUCGGAACGUACCCUGGAGUGGGGGAUAACGUAGCGAAAGUUACGCUAAUACCGCAUACGAUCUAAGGAUGAAAAGUGGGGGCUUCGCAAGAACCUCAUGCUCCUGGAGCGGCCGAUAUCUGAUUAGCUAGUUGGUAGGGUAAAAGCCUACCAAGGCUUCGAUCAGUAGCUGGUCUGAGAGGACGACCAGCCACACUGGAACUGAGACACGGUCCAGACUCCUACGGGAGGCAGCAGUGGGGAAUUUUGGACAAUGGGCGCAAGCCUGAUCCAGCAAUGCCGCGUGAGUGAAGAAGGCCUUCGGGUUGUAAAGCUCUUUUGUCAGGGAAGAAACGGUGUUUUCUAAUACAGAACGCUAAUGACGGUACCUGAAGAAUAAGCACCGGCUAACUACGUGCCAGCAGCCGCGGUAAUACGUAGGGUGCAAGCGUUAAUCGGAAUUACUGGGCGUAAAGCGUGCGCAGGCGGUUUUGUAAGUUUGUCGUGAAAGCCCCGGGCUCAACCUGGGAAUUGCGAUGAAGACUGCAAGGCUUGAAUCUGGCAGAGGGGGGUAGAAUUCCACGUGUAGCAGUGAAAUGCGUAGAGAUGUGGAGGAACACCGAUGGCGAAGGCAGCCCCCUGGGUCAAGAUUGACGCUCAUGCACGAAAGCGUGGGGAGCAAACAGGAUUAGAUACCCUAGUAGUCC
Molecule: ribosomal RNA, 794 nt
Filed under: uncultured bacterium
Lineage: Bacteria
Description: bacterial SSU rRNA
Rfam family: Bacterial small subunit ribosomal RNA
Source: RNAcentral